UGCUGAUAAAAGUGGGUACUUGAAUAUUGUCAGGUGUUAUGUUGAUCAUGGUGCCAAUCCCGACAUAAUGGGGUUUACUCUAUAUCAGGCCAUAAAAUAUGAAGUAUAAAACAUAUCAUAUAUUUUAUUUGGCAUAAAACAUUGUCACAAAUUGAUUCAUUUCAUAACUCCAUUGAUAAAAGUUGAAAGAAAUGAAGUGAAGCAUAUAAGAAUUUCUUAACUCACGUUAUAUUCUAUACAUUUGAUUCAGGGCAUUGUGAAAUAGUAGAACUCUUGCUCUCUAGGGGUGCUUAUGUCGAUCUAUUUUAUAUGGAUCAUGGGACACCAUUGCAUGGUAAACAUAAGCAGGAUGCAACCGUGAAGAUUUUGUUGGAUCACCAUUCAGAUGUAAGUUCCAUUCCAUGUGUCUUUGUUAUCUAAAGUUACAUUCCUUUAUUGUUUUCUCACUAUUAUAUUUGAUAACCUUUGGAACUUGAACUUUGAUCGAUAGAUAAUUAUGACUCUUCGAAGUCAGAAAAACUGUCAAUUUAUUUUGGGGCCGAUGUUAUUGUGGCAUCAAUACAACUUCAUUCCACUUGAUCCGGCACGACACAAGUCAAUAACCUCUCGCUUUGAUUUCUUCAUCAUGAAUGCCUAUAUGCAUUUUAAUGACCUUUAUUGUUCGUGUCGAGUGAAUAAGAACUACAGCAGUUUCUCAAUGUCGACCUCACUUGAGAUCCUUUUGUUUUAUUAUGAGAAGAUCAAGAGCUUUGAUAUGAUGAAGUGCAUAGUAUAUUUGAAAUAUGUAGUAAUUUUGUAUAAAGUAUUCCUAAUUUAUAUAACUUUUGUUCAAGUCCUAUCUAGAUCAAAAUCAUAAUCUUGCAUUUCGUUUUUGACAUAAUCUAUAUAUAAUGUCUUGGGUAAGAUAGAAGACCUUUAGGCUUAGAAACUUUUUGGAAUAGUUGGUCAAUGCCAAGGUAUAUGAUUUGUUUAUAUCUGCUUCUAUUUGUAUGCAUUUUUUUGUUUAUCUUCAAAAUAUUUCCUACAUGUCUCAUCUGUACACACGUGUGUGCUUGUUCUUGUCAUUGAGUUGAGUUAGUGAAUUGGUUGGUGAUGUUUAGUUUGUAGCCACUCAGAGCCACUCUAUAUUGUUGAAUUUGAGUUUUUUCCAGUGAUUUUAUUAAUCUUCAGACGAUCAGAUUUCAGUGUUUUUUCUGGUGACUGUUAGACAGAGACAUGAAUUCCGGGUCUACUUCUUUUCUUCUUUUUAUGAAAUCCUCAAUAAUUCCUACCUUUCUUGGAAGUGCAGGUACAUACUACUAUUAAUUAACUCCCAUGUUCAGUGUUUGGGACAGGUGGCAUGCACUAUCACGUCUGUAUGAUAUGGCCGAGUUUAGAUGAAAUAGUUUUGCAUGUUUGAUAUAUCUUAGUAAAUUAUGGGUUUGAUCUCCAAAUGUGCUUGAACAUAAUAAGUUAAGGAAGAUGCUUGGUUUGAUUUGAGCAAAGAGGUUGUACAGAUACUAUCUAAAUGGUGUGGAUGCUUUUCGCUUGAAAAGAUGGAAAGGAAGUUGUUUUUCUUGUGUUCUUUUCCUGUUUGAUACUUCCACACAUCUUCAUGGCCCGGUAAUUUUGGAACCAAGAAAAGCGCUGCAUUUCCUUGAGGACCUUAGUUUUGGCUUUGUCAUUGCUUAGUACAUAUAAAAAGGAUUGUGUGCAUUAAAAUGUUAUGCGAAAUACAUUGCUAUUGAAAGAAAGCUUUGCCAGGAGCCUAUCUAAUUUUGAU
This 1762-nucleotide long non-coding RNA is filed under the name Triticum aestivum (bread wheat). Its description in RNAcentral is "long non-coding RNA (TAES_LNC003325)". The record is from RNAcentral. Lineage: Eukaryota; Viridiplantae; Streptophyta; Magnoliopsida; Poales; Poaceae.